RNAcentral lists this ribosomal RNA (164 nucleotides) under uncultured bacterium. Its description in RNAcentral is "partial 16S rRNA". It matches the Rfam family "Bacterial small subunit ribosomal RNA", at positions 355 to 511 of the family's 1533-position model. The record is from RNAcentral.
UAGGGAAUCUUCCACAAUGGGCGCAAGCCUGAUGGAGCAACACCGCGUGAGUGAAGAAGGGUUUCGGCUCGUAAAACUCUGUUGUUGAAGAAGAACGUGCGUGAGAGUAACUGUUCAUGCAGUGACGGUAUUCAACCAGGAAGUCACGGCUAACUACGUGCCAC